This 411-nucleotide ribosomal RNA is filed under the name uncultured Pseudomonadota bacterium. RNAcentral describes it as "bacterial SSU rRNA". It matches the Rfam family "Bacterial small subunit ribosomal RNA", at positions 1097 to 1505 of the family's 1533-position model. Lineage: Bacteria; Pseudomonadati; Pseudomonadota. The record is from RNAcentral.
CGCAACCCUUUUCCUUAUUUGCCAGCGGGUUAAGCCGGGAACUUUAAGGAUACUGCCAGUGACAAACUGGAGGAAGGCGGGGACGACGUCAAGUCAUCAUGGCCCUUACGACCAGGGCUACACACGUGCUACAAUGGUAGGUACAGAGGGUUGCUACACAGCGAUGUGAUGCUAAUCUCAAAAAGCCUAUCGUAGUCCGGAUUGGAGUCUGCAACUCGACUCCAUGAAGUCGGAAUCGCUAGUAAUCGCGGAUCAGAACGCCGCGGUGAAUACGUUCCCGGGCCUUGUACACACCGCCCGUCACACCAUGGAAGUCUGCAAUGCCCAAAGCCGGUGGCCUAACCUUCGGGAAGGAGCCGUCUAAGGCAGGGGCGAGAUGACUGGGGUGAAGUCGUAACAAGGUAGCCGUAG